UGCAGUAGAACGCUGAAGAGAGGAGCUUGCUCUUCUUGGAUGAGUUGCGAACGGGUGAGUAACGCGUAGGUAACCUGCCUUGUAGCGGGGGAUAACUAUUGGAAACGAUAGCUAAUACCGCAUAACAAUGGAUGACACAUGUCAUUUAUUUGAAAGGGGCAAUUGCUCCACUACAAGAUGGACCUGCGUUGUAUUAGCUAGUAGGUGAGGUAACGGCUCACCUAGGCGACGAUACAUAGCCGACCUGAGAGGGUGAUCGGCCACACUGGGACUGAGACACGGCCCAGACUCCUACGGGAGGCAGCAGUAGGGAAUCUUCGGCAAUGGGGGCAACCCUGACCGAGCAACGCCGCGUGAGUGAAGAAGGUUUUCGGAUCGUAAAGCUCUGUUGUAAGUCAAGAACGAGUGUGAGAGUGGAAAGUUCACACUGUGACGGUAGCUUACCAGAAAGGGACGGCUAACUACGUGCCAGCAGCCGCGGUAAUACGUAGGUCCCGAGCGUUGUCCGGAUUUAUUGGGCGUAAAGCGAGCGCAGGCGGUUUGAUAAGUCUGAAGUUAAAGGCUGUGGCUCAACCAUAGUUCGCUUUGGAAACUGUCAAACUUGAGUGCAGAAGGGGAGAGUGGAAUUCCAUGUGUAGCGGUGAAAUGCGUAGAUAUAUGGAGGAACACCGGUGGCGAAAGCGGCUCUCUGGUCUGUAACUGACGCUGAGGCUCGAAAGCGUGGGGAGCGAACAGGAUUAGAUACCCUGGUAGUCCACGCCGUAAACGAUGAGUGCUAGGUGUUGGAUCCUUUCCGGGAUUCAGUGCCGCAGCUAACGCAUUAAGCACUCCGCCUGGGGAGUACGACCGCAAGGUUGAAACUCAAAGGAAUUGACGGGGGCCCGCACAAGCGGUGGAGCAUGUGGUUUAAUUCGAAGCAACGCGAAGAACCUUACCAGGUCUUGACAUCCCGAUGCUAUUUCUAGAGAUAGAAAGUUACUUCGGUACAUCGGUGACAGGUGGUGCAUGGUUGUCGUCAGCUCGUGUCGUGAGAUGUUGGGUUAAGUCCCGCAACGAGCGCAACCCCUAUUGUUAGUUGCCAUCAUUCAGUUGGGCACUCUAGCGAGACUGCCGGUAAUAAACCGGAGGAAGGUGGGGAUGACGUCAAAUCAUCAUGCCCCUUAUGACCUGGGCUACACACGUGCUACAAUGGUUGGUACAACGAGUUGCGAGUCGGUGACGGCAAGCUAAUCUCUUAAAGCCAAUCUCAGUUCGGAUUGUAGGCUGCAACUCGCCUACAUGAAGUCGGAAUCGCUAGUAAUCGCGGAUCAGCACGCCGCGGUGAAUACGUUCCCGGGCCUUGUACACACCGCCCGUCACACCACGAGAGUUUGUAACACCCGAAGUCGGUGAGGUAACCUUUGGAGCCAGCCGCCUAAGU
This 1420-nucleotide ribosomal RNA is filed under the name Streptococcus salivarius. Its description in RNAcentral is "bacterial SSU rRNA". It matches the Rfam family "Bacterial small subunit ribosomal RNA". The record is from RNAcentral. Lineage: Bacteria; Bacillati; Bacillota; Bacilli; Lactobacillales; Streptococcaceae.